RNAcentral lists this ribosomal RNA (529 nucleotides) under uncultured fungus. Its description in RNAcentral is "eukaryotic LSU rRNA". It matches the Rfam family "Eukaryotic large subunit ribosomal RNA", at positions 81 to 615 of the family's 3401-position model. Lineage: Eukaryota; Fungi. The record is from RNAcentral.
GAGUAAUGGCGAAUGAAAUGGAAAGAGUUCAUAUUUUAAAUCUGGCGUCAUUUUGGCGUCCGAAUUGUAAAGUAAAGUCUGGCAAACAAGUUCUGCCGCGGAGCUAAAUCCUCUGGAAAGGGGUAUCAGAGAAGGUGAAAAUCCUGUCUGUGCUUCGAUGGCGGUUCCUGUUUUGCCGGUCAAAGAGUCGGGUUGUUUGGGAUUGCAACUCAAAAUAGGUGGUAAAUUUCAUCUAAAACUAAAUAUCAGCAGAAAACCAAUAGCGAACAAGUACCGUGAGGGAAAGAUGAAAAGAACUUUGAAAAGAGAGUUAAAAGUACGUGAAAUCGUUGAAAGGGAAAUGGUUGGGGCAGUAGCGGUGUGUAAUGCACCAUCAGCGUGACUUGUGUGGGCGUCUUGGUCUGUACGUUAUCCUUUUUGGAUGCGUGCGGGCUUUAAUUCGCCUGCGCGAGUCAGGUUUCAAUUUGCCUUGGUGGAGGGCGCAGGGGAGAUUUAUCAAUCCUGCGCUUUCUUCCAAAAUAAUGACGCU